GAACGAACACAAUCCUGCAGAGGCACUUUCUUGCGGCAAUGCAGUUCACAUCCCCCUUGCUCGGCGGGUACAUGAUGUACCAUCGCAAGUCGAUGAGUACGAUGCGCUACAGCAAGUGGAAGGGUGCACGCGGCGGCCUCAGUCACUUCUACAAUCGAACCGCCAUGCUGGAGGAAGUGCCGGUGAAUAUGCCGGUCUCUAUCGCGGAUCGGCGCAUGAUGGCCUACGUGCACCGCUCUCGCCUGCGUCACUUUCAGCUUUUUCGGUCGUACCAGCAGAAGUCGAACUCGACGGAGUGCAAGUUGCGCGAAGGUGAAUUUCUCCGCCGCCGGUGGCACCGGCAGCUGCAGAAAUCCUUCAUUGCCUUUAUGCAAUUCAAAACAAUGAAGGUGCUGGAGGAGCAGGCGAAGCUGGUUUCGCAGUAUGGGCAGGCGUCCGUGAACGCCGCCCUGGGCGACCCACAGGUCGCGGCAGGCGAUGUGGCACACGAACGCAAGUACGUGGCACUCCAUCGCCGAGUGCAGACACUGCCCCGAAUUCAGCUCGUGCCCAAGCACGUGGCUACGAUGAAGCAGAUUCACAACGACCGCUUCAACUACCGCUGGCGCGUCAACUAGGCCCGCUCUUUUUCUGUGUUCUGCGGAUCUGAAGGCGGAGCAGCACGCGCGCCGAACUCCGUAGGCGCUUAUGCUUUACCAUCGACUUCUCCGGCGGAGCAUCGUCCAGAAGACGUCGCUGCCUUCCAGAUGACUUAGCCAACCGCGUGGUGCUUUGCCGUCCUUCGUCCUCCCACACCGCCCACGUCCCGCUUCGCUUCUGCCUAUGAGGCCACCGAAUGCCCAUGUGGGACCGGUCUAGCUGGAACUCGAGAUGUCUUCUGCUCAGUUGUGCAGGGGCAAUGCCAACUUUCAUUUUCGCCUCGCAUCUCUCGUUUUUGUUCGUUUCGCUCCUGCUCGCCCGAUGAAG
This 966-nucleotide unclassified non-coding RNA is filed under the name Leishmania donovani. RNAcentral's name for it is "gene:LdHU3.29.2390(CDS-product:hypothetical_prote in_conserved)". Lineage: Eukaryota; Euglenozoa; Kinetoplastea; Trypanosomatida; Trypanosomatidae. The record is from RNAcentral.